This 200-nucleotide long non-coding RNA is filed under the name Lathyrus oleraceus (garden pea). Its description in RNAcentral is "Pisum sativum (pea) long non-coding RNA (PSAT_LNC031641)". Lineage: Eukaryota; Viridiplantae; Streptophyta; Magnoliopsida; Fabales; Fabaceae. The record is from RNAcentral.
UUUAUUUUCACACAAACAGAAAAUGUAUGAAAUGUCACAAAUAAACACCAUCUGGUAUGUCGUAAAUGUCUCAUUCUCCAGUGCGACACUCAGAAGAAAGUUUAAGCUCAAUGAGUACAUCUUUUUAUAGAUCUGAAAUACGAAGUGCAUAGUCUCCUACCUUACAGAGACAACCGAAAAAUUGUCAAGCUCGAAACUUU